Molecule: ribosomal RNA, 243 nt
Filed under: uncultured bacterium
Lineage: Bacteria
Description: partial small subunit ribosomal RNA
Rfam family: Bacterial small subunit ribosomal RNA
Source: RNAcentral
AGAAUCAACGCUGGCGGCGUGCCUAACACAUGCAAGUCGCACGAGAAAGAGGGGGCAACCCCUUGAGUAAAGUGGCGUACGGGUGAGUAACACGUGACUAACCUACCUCCGAAUGGGGAAUAACCUCGGGAAACCGGGGCUAAUACCGCAUAACAUCUACGGAUCAAAGCAGCAAUGCGUUUGGAGAGGGGUCGCGGCUGAUUAGCUAGUUGGUAGGGUAAUGGCCUACCAAGGCGACGAUCA